AAGCUAAUGAUGACAAAAUUGAUUUGGAAUUACCGUCUGAAUAUCUUUGAUGUAAAUUUCUUGGCUGUGGUACUGAGGCUUCAA
RNAcentral lists this small nucleolar RNA (84 nucleotides) under Trifolium pratense (red clover). The record is from RNAcentral. Lineage: Eukaryota; Viridiplantae; Streptophyta; Magnoliopsida; Fabales; Fabaceae.